GAAAGUCCGAAGUCCAAAGUUUAAAACGACGACGUGUACUGGUAUCGUCGUCCAGAACCAGAACGAGUGCCUUGUAUCGUCGUCUACAGCGCUGCAUGGUGUUUGAUACGAGCUCCAUUGUUCGACGGACGAUUUGUUUGUGCUGUGGAAGCGAUUGAAAAUUUCUCUAAUCGCAUAGAAAAAUCCUGGUUAAUUCUAAGGUAAUUCCGACUAAUCAUAUUUUGUAAGACUAAUUUUCAACAAUUUGGGGUUUAGAUUUUCUGGGCUCCGAUUGUUGUAGUCGCUAACUGGGUUUGUAUCAAAAUUUCAAACUUCAAUCAUAUUGUUAGAUUUAUUCAAUACUUUAAUUCAAUGAAGUUGAAUUUGAAAAUUGUUCAUAUAUACCAGUGCUAUAUUUUCAACAAUUUUGUUGAUAUGAUUAUGCAAAAUUUUGAAUUAGACACAGUGGAUUAGUGGACUGGACGGUUCCAGUUUUCUAGUGCAUGAAAACCCUAAAUCUUCAGUAGUCUAGUGGAUGGGAAAUUGGUUCUCAAAUUCACUGAUAAUAAAGAGGUACUAAUACUUUCUUUCUCCAACUGUGUAUUAACUCAUCUCUGUAACCCUAGCUGGCUGAGAUUAUUAUUGAUUUAACUUCAUGAACAAGACAGUAAUUUAGUAAGUCUGUGUAACCCUAUUCAUUGUUUAGGAACUUCAAUCAACUUUCUUUUGUUAAAAAUUGAAAUGAAUUACCGCAGGUUUGAAAGGCAUAGGAAACGAGCAGCCUGUAAUGUUAACACUAUUCUCGGUUUUGUACUGUUAAUGCUCUUCUAGUGACAGAUUAAGUGAACCUGUGGUGAUCUUCUUUCUUAUAAUGUUAUAUUUUGAUCAAUAAAGUAAUUACAUCAUUUUCUGGUGAAUCUUUUGCUUUUUUCGUUAAGAUGUUUUAUAUUCCAUAUUUCUUUUUUCUUACAGAACAAGGUUUUCUGAGAGAUGUUAGGUCCGUGUUUUUUUCCUUUUUUGUUUACAUGAUUCAUUUCCUCUUGUUUACUCUGCAGGGUCAUCAAUUUUGCUUUGUUUGUUCCCCUUUAAAAGAAAAUAAUCAAAUUGGUUCUUUUUGGUAUGUGGCUUAUUAAGUGUUAAUAUUUUCCAUCAAAAUUGCUGUAACUUUUUUUUUCUUUGGGAACCUACCUAUGUUGUGGCAGAAAUUCACUUGUCACCCCUUCGUUUGACUUAGAUGCUAAGAUCCUUUACCUCUGUUUUUUACAUUACACAAAUCUGUUAAUGUCACCUAAUCCAUUUCAAACUGUGAUGUCUUGUUUUUUCUUCUUUGUUGAGCGCAGGGAGUGAUACUCAAACUGUUUUAUAUGGGAUUAUCUUUAAACACAAUAAAAAUACGUGAAGGACUAUUUUUCAUGCUGAAUUGUUCCCAAAUUGGAAUCUGGGGAGUAUUUACUUUUCUUCUGUCUUCCAUUUCUUUCAUUUUACUUUUUUUAGGUGGACAAAUCCGAAUCGCAGAAAGUUCGUGUAAGUAGUCAAAUGAGACAUCUGACUGAAUUUGACAUGAUUAUAGUUUCUUAGUGCAUUCUAGGGAUAUGUUGGAAAAUCUCCUAUGCAUGCUUAUAAGCAGAACACACACUACAUAAAAUCCUGAUAUGUCCUGUGGUUGUCUUUGGAAACCUGGAUUGAAACAUUUUUUAGGCUUACUACAAGCUUUGGUAUGUUUUUUGUAAUCUCAAAUAUUUAGAUACAACAAAACAGUUGCAUUGCAUAUCAUUGUAUGAAUAUGGAAAAGUUGGGUUCCAAUAGUGGCUCCUUUUUGUAAUUAUGCUUAAUGAAGCUUUCAUUUUAUGAAUUUGCAGGCAUGGUUUAUUGAUGUUUUCUGGAUAGAAAUCAGCUAAAGGGAAGUAUUUCAUCUUCUAGUCUUUGACAUUAAAAUAUGAAGAGCAUGGGGCAGAUCAGCGCAGGCCCUUGGUUGUUGGAUUGUCAUUUUAUUAUUUGUGGAUGUUUUAUUGGAUCACUGAUCCGAGAAUAAUAUCCCACCAUGAUUAUGUUUAGUUGUUGUAUUCCAUUGAUUGGGUUAAUGGACUGUCCAAAAAAAAUGUACAUAUCUGUAGACAUUUUCACGCAAAUGAACUUGAGUGAAGUAGUUCAAAAUAUUUUGAUGUAAUAUCUAUUGACAUAAUUAAGUUGUUGAAAUAAAACUACAC
This 2186-nucleotide long non-coding RNA is filed under the name Prunus dulcis (almond). RNAcentral's name for it is "sRNA ncRNA". The record is from RNAcentral. Lineage: Eukaryota; Viridiplantae; Streptophyta; Magnoliopsida; Rosales; Rosaceae.